AAGGGAGACCUAAUUCCGGUAGGAGACGAAAAAAAAGUAGUCCCAACCAAGAAUCAAUCCCAAAAGGUCGGAACGAGGUAUGAGGCUUUCAAACUAGGUUCUGGGUUCAUAAAAGACCUGAAUCAGGAACAAGGGCUAUUAGCUCAGGUGGUUAGAACGCACCCCUGAUAAGGGUGAGGUCCCUGGUUCGAGUCCAGGAUGGCCCACCUGCACAGGUGGCAAAAACAAGAGAAGCUCCGAAUCAGCACCUUAUCUUAUAUACAUAUAUAAGAGAGAAUGCUGGCUCUGAGUACAGAGUCCAGAGGAACCUUGAAAACUGCAUAGAGCUAGGUGAAAAAGCCAAAAAAGAAGACCGCAA
This 358-nucleotide transfer RNA is filed under the name uncultured Microcystis sp. RNAcentral describes it as "partial 16S-23S ribosomal RNA intergenic spacer". The stretch from base 133 to 206 matches the Rfam family "tRNA". Lineage: Bacteria; Bacillati; Cyanobacteriota; Cyanophyceae; Chroococcales; Microcystaceae. The record is from RNAcentral.